This is a small nuclear RNA of Manduca sexta (tobacco hornworm), 166 nucleotides long. RefSeq annotates it as U1 spliceosomal RNA. The transcript has a single exon. The record is from RefSeq and is a predicted model, not a curated record. Lineage: Eukaryota; Metazoa; Arthropoda; Insecta; Lepidoptera; Sphingidae.
AUACUUACCUGGCGUAGGGAUAACUGUAAUCAUAAAGGCAGUUCCCCCGGGGCGAGGGCUCAAUCAUAGCAUUGCGAUUGAGUAUGACCCCCGCGAUUACCCCUAAAGUGGGUAACUCGGACGUGUAAUUUUUGGGAGUGGGGGAUAGCGUUCGCGCUGCCCCCUU